Molecule: long non-coding RNA, 3595 nt
Filed under: Homo sapiens (human)
Lineage: Eukaryota; Metazoa; Chordata; Mammalia; Primates; Hominidae
Description: HSALNT0406215
Source: RNAcentral
ACAGAAACGCCGCUUGGCCUUUGGACUACACCAUCUGUCGCUCGCUCUAACGAGCCGGCGUUGCCGCCAGGGGACGCUCGGGCCGCAGGAGGUCGCUGGGUCGUGAGCUGGCGCCGGGGACGCCGAGCGACUGCGGGGUUUCCCUCAGCGUCCUGCUAUCCGGCUGCCCGCCGCGCUCCUUGGUAGUGUCCGUGGGCGCGCAGGCCUUGAAGAACCUCCUCGUGGCGGGACCCCGAGCGCAGGAGAGGUGUCAAAGAGCUGGCGCGUCUCCAGAGCCCCGGGAGGAAGGCUGUAACGGCAGCCCCAUCGUAGACAGGGACAUUCGCAUCCCGAGCCCUGGAUCUCUGAAAACCAGCCCAGAAUUUGGAAGCUGGAAGGAACUUUAGAUCGUCCAUUCUGAGUGUCUCUCUUCGCUGGCGUUUUCCCACUGAGGUUAUGUAAACAUGAAGAGGAGCCUACAAGUGUCAAGGAAAAAACGACAGCUAACCACAGGGCAGGCCAUGGGCAAGAUAUCUCAGUGUUCUCCGCUCUCAUAGGUCAGGUCACGACCCCCAGGAGACCUGGAGGACUGAAUGCUGCUGCCCCCAAGGAGGAGGCUGCCGUCUUAUCCCAGGAGGGAGAGCAGGUGAAGUCCCCAGGGGAGGAAGCACCUAGCCCCAUUCCUGCUGAGCAGGAGGUGGCAGGUACCCCAGACUGGGAGGUAAGGACAGCCCGGGGCUUCGACUGAACGUCUCCAGCGUGGGUCCAACUGAGCAGCCAUGGAGCACUGCAGAGUGGGAGGCAGCAGGGCAGGGAGGCAGUGCUGGAGGCUGGCUCAACCCCAAGCCUGUUUCCCUGUCUGUGCAACACAGAACCUGCCUGAUCUCACUGCUGGAUCCCUCUUCUUCCUGCCAGGAAAAUAAAAAGGUUCAAAAGGAAGUUGCUGCGUAUCCAUCUGAGGCCUCUGAGGACAGCAAAGAGCAAAGGCCCUGGGACCGGGUCUACGUGCCCAUGACAGAGCUCUGGCUGGACUGGUUCUGAGCCUCUAACACCCCCAAGACUCAGAACCGUGAAGAAAAUCUUUCCAAUAAAUCCAAGAGUUGCUGCUGCUAUAGGCCAGGCUGCCACCUUUCGGGGCCUCCGUCUUCAGACAAACCCAGCCUGGCUUCAUCCACACUCCCUGUCCCCACAGCUGCAGGAACAGCACUUCCUGCCACCGAGCCGUGUGACCACAGUGGAUUGUCUCUGGAGGGGCCCAAGGGGGCCCUGGCCACCCUUCUGACUGACUCGGUGCCAGGGGACAGACCAACGUCCCUCUCGUGCUGACAGCCGGGCCGCACCCUGGCAUGAGGGCAUUUACAGAAAUGCUGGCGGAACUGCUGCCAGGGAGGCUGUAGGGUCCUCUGGCAAAAGAGGCCUCAGGUGGCUCCUCAGAGUGUCUGUGGUUCUCUGUCCCAGGCUGUUCCCUAAGAAGGUCUGCCCAGGACUCAGGUAAUCAUAUGCUCAUUAGAAACUCUUGGGCACUGCCUGUGUGCCCAGCCCAGCCCAUUAUGUCGGUGAGGACAGACGUGGAGGACAGCAGUCCCUGCCCUUGGUUGGGGCUCCAGGCCAGCAAGGGCCACAGCCCCAGAAGGCAGAGCAGGAAGACAGGACUCGGGGCAGGUGAAGCAGCCUUCUCGUUGGCAGAAGGGAAACAGAAGCCCGGGGUGGGGAAGGGUGGGGAAGGGUGGGGAAGGGUGGGCCCGGGGUCACACGGGGUAAUGGCAGAGCAAGGACUAGGGUCAGGGUCUCUGGCUCUCAGCUGCCCAUGCCACCUCCUCCUUCUCUGCCCGCCCCAGUGCCUUAUGGGUCCAAGGUUGACUCCUGUCCCUAGGGCAGGCCUGUGGGCCCUGCCUGAUCCCUACUGGGAGGAUGGUACCUAGGGUUGGAGCCAAACAAGUGUCCUCCUCCAGCGCCAGCCUGGCCCUGAGUGCGAACUCGUCACUGGUCAGGGGUCCAGACAGCAGCAUCCCUGAGGGCCCAGAGAGGUGGCCAGUCCUGUGGUGAGGUUGAGAGGUGUCAACGUGCUGGUGGUCCUCGCUCGCUCUCAGCGCCUCCUCGGCCUCAGCUUCUGCUCUGACCACACUUGAGGAGCCCUUCAGCCCAGCGCUGCACUGUGGGAGCCCCUCUCUGGACUGGUGGAGGCUGGAGCCGGCUCCGUCUGCUUGCGGGGAGGUAUGGAGGGAGAGGCGUGUGCGGGAACCUGGGUUGCUCGCGGGCCAGCACCAGUUCUGGGUGGGCAGGGGCUCAGCGGGCCCUGCACUCGGAGCGGCCGGCUGGUGCCUCUGGCCCCAGGCAGUGAGGGGCUUAGCACCUGGGCCAGCAGCUGCAGAGGGGGCACCGGGUCCCCCAGUACUGCUGGCCUGCCGGCGCUCACCACACUUGAAUUGUCGCCAGGCCUCAGUCACCUCCCCGCGGGGCAGGGCUCAGGACUUGCAGCCUGCCAUGCCCAAGCCUCCCUACGGUGGGCUCCCUGCGAGGCCCGAGCCUCCCGGAUGGGUGCCUCCCACUGCUCCACGGCACCUGGUCCCGUCCACUGCCCAAGGGCUGAGGAGUACAGGUGCCCGGUGUGGGACUAGCAGGCAGCUCUGCCUGUGGCCCUGGCAUAGGAUCCACUAGGCGAAGCUGGCUGGGCUCCUGAGUCAGGUGGGGACUUGGAGAACUUUUAUGUCUAGCCAGAGGAUUGUAUAUGCACCAAUCAGCACUCUGUGUCUAGCUCCGGGUUCGUGCAUGCACCAAUUAGCACUCUAUCUAGCUAAUCUGGUGGGGACUUGGGGAACCUUUAUUUCUAGCUAAAAGAUUGUAAAUACACCAAUCAGCACUCUGUGUCUAGCUCAAGGUUUGUAAACACACCAGUCAGCACCCUGUGUCUAACUCAAGGUUUGUAAACGCACCAAUCAGUGCUCUCUGUCUACUCUAUCUAGCUAAUCUAGUGGGGACUGGGACAACCUUUAUGUCUAGCUAAGGGAUUGUAAAUACACCAUUCAGCACUCUGUGUCUAGCUCAAGGUUUGUAAAUAUACCAAUCAGUACUCUGUGUCUAGCUCAGGGAUUGUAAAUGCACCAAUCAGCUCUCUGUAAGUGGACCAAUCCACUGUCUGUAAAAUGGGCCAAUCAGCAGGAUGUGGGUGGGGGUCAGAUAAGGGAAUAAAAGCAGGCUGCCUGAAGUAGCAGCGGCAACCUGGUUGCCAUCAUUCUUUUGCUGUUUGCAGUAAGUCUUGCUGCUGCUGCUCCCUCAUUGGGUCCACACUGCCUUUAUGAGUUGUAACACUGGAAGGACUGCAGUUUCACUCCUGAGGCCAGUGAGACCACAAACCCACCAGGAAGAAUGAACAACUCCGUACGUGCAGCCUUAAGAGCCGUAACACUCACUGUGAAGGUCUGCAGCUUCACUCCUGAAGCCAGCAAGACCACGCACCCACCAGAAGGAAGAAACUCUGAACACGUCUUAACAUCAGAAGGAACAAACUCUGAACACACCAUCUUUAAGAACUGUAACACUCACCGUGAGGGUCCACGGCUUCAUUCUUGAAGUCAGUGAGACCAAGAACCCACCAAUUUUGGACACAAGGUGACAG